RNAcentral lists this ribosomal RNA (460 nucleotides) under uncultured bacterium. Its description in RNAcentral is "partial 16S ribosomal RNA". It matches the Rfam family "Bacterial small subunit ribosomal RNA", at positions 338 to 795 of the family's 1533-position model. The record is from RNAcentral.
CCUACGGGAGGCAGCAGUGAGGAAUAUUGGUCAAUGGACGAGCGUCUGAACCAGCCAAGUAGCGUGAAGGAUGACUGCCCUAUGGGUUGUAAACUUCUUUUAUAUGGGAAUAAAAUGUUCCACGUGUGGGCUUUUGUAUGUACCAUAUGAAUAAGGAUCGGCUACCUCCGUGCCAGCAGCCGCGGUAAUACGGAGGAUCCGAGCGUUAUCCGGAUUUAUUGGGUUUAAAGGGAGCGUAGGUGGAUUGUUAAGUCAGUUGUGAAAGUUUGCGGCUCAACCGUAAAAUUGCAGUUGAAACUGGCAGUCUUGAGUACAGUAGAGGUGGGCGGAAUUCGUGGUGUAGCGGUGAAAUGCUUAGAUAUCACGAAGAACUCCGAUUGCGAAGGCAGCUCACUGGACUGCAACUGACACUGAGGCUCGAAAGUGUGGGUAUCAAACAGGAUUAGAUACCCGAGUAGUC